CGGGGAUUGGCCUAGCGGUUUAAGGCGCCUGCUUUGGGAGCAGGAGAUCGCGAGUUCGAAUCUCGCAUCCCCGACCA
Molecule: transfer RNA, 77 nt
Filed under: Candidatus Shapirobacteria bacterium
Lineage: Bacteria; Candidatus Shapironibacteriota
Also listed under: 1 other name
Description: tRNA-Pro
Rfam family: tRNA
About the family: Transfer RNA (tRNA) molecules are approximately 80 nucleotides in length. Their secondary structure includes four short double-helical elements and three loops (D, anti-codon, and T loops).
Source: RNAcentral